CACGUAGGGUGCGAGCGUUGUCCGGAAUUAUUGGGCGUAAAGAGCUCGUAGGCGGUGUGUCGCGUCGGCCGUGAAAACCUGCAGCUUAACUGUGGGCUUGCGGUCGAUACGGGCAUCACUGGAGUUCGGCAGGGGAGACUGGAAUUCCUGGUGUAGCGGUGAAAUGCGUAGAUAUCCGGAGGAACACCGGUGGCGAAGGCGGCUUCCUGGACCGACACUGACGCUGAGGCGCGAAAGCCAGGGGAGCAAACGGG
This 254-nucleotide ribosomal RNA is filed under the name uncultured bacterium. RNAcentral's name for it is "partial 16S ribosomal RNA". It matches the Rfam family "Bacterial small subunit ribosomal RNA", at positions 524 to 776 of the family's 1533-position model. The record is from RNAcentral.